CCUACGGGUGGCAGCAGUGAGGAAUAUUGGUCAAUGGGCGAGAGCCUGAACCAGCCAAGUCGCGUGAGGGAGUACUGCCCUAUGGGUUGUAAACCUCUUUUGUCGGGGAGCAAAAGCCGGACGUGUCCGGCUGUGAGAGUACUCGAAGAAAAAGCAUCGGCUAACGCCGUGCCAGCAGCCGCGGUAAUACGGAGGAUGCGAGCGUUAUCCGGCUUUAUUGGGUUUAAGGGGUGCGCAGGCGGCUUUCUAAGUCAGCGGUCAAAUCGUGGGGCUAAACCCCCUCCAGCCGUUGAAACUGGGGGUCUAGAGUGUACGAAAGGUAGGCGGAAUGCGUGGUGUAGCGGUGAAAUGCAUAGAUAGCACGCAGAACCCCGAUUGCGAAGGCAGCAUACCGGUGCACAACUGACGCUCAGGCACGAAAGCGUGGGUAUCGAACAGGAUUAGAUACCCGAGUAGUC
This 458-nucleotide ribosomal RNA is filed under the name uncultured bacterium. RNAcentral describes it as "partial 16S ribosomal RNA". It matches the Rfam family "Bacterial small subunit ribosomal RNA", at positions 338 to 795 of the family's 1533-position model. The record is from RNAcentral.